Molecule: ribosomal RNA, 325 nt
Filed under: uncultured Pseudomonadota bacterium
Lineage: Bacteria; Pseudomonadati; Pseudomonadota
Description: bacterial SSU rRNA
Rfam family: Bacterial small subunit ribosomal RNA
Source: RNAcentral
AUUGAACGCUGGCGGCACGCCUAACACAUGCAAGUCGAGCGGUAGCAUGAUUGGUAGCAAUACCAAUUGAUGACGAGCGGCGGACGGGUGAGGAACACGUAGGAACCUGCCUUCAAGUGGGGGACAACCAAGGGAAACUUUGGCUAAUACCGCAUAAUUCCGAAAGGGAAAAGCUGCCCGCAAGGGUGGCGCUUGAAGAGGGGCCUGCGUCCGAUUAGCUAGUUGGAGAGGUAAAAGCUCACCAAGGCGAUGAUCGGUAACUGGUCUGAGAGGACGACCAGUCACACUGGGACUGAGACACGGCCCAGACUCCUACGGGAGGCUG